This 522-nucleotide ribosomal RNA is filed under the name uncultured bacterium. RNAcentral's name for it is "partial 16S ribosomal RNA". It matches the Rfam family "Bacterial small subunit ribosomal RNA", at positions 355 to 871 of the family's 1533-position model. The record is from RNAcentral.
UGGGGAAUUUUGGACAAUGGGCGAAAGCCUGAUCCAGCAAUGCCGCGUGUGUGAAGAAGGCCUUCGGGUUGUAAAGCACUUUUGUCCGGAAAGAAAUCCUUGGCUCUAAUACAGUCGGGGGAUGACGGUACCGGAAGAAUAAGCACCGGCUAACUACGUGCCAGCAGCCGCGGUAAUACGUAGGGUGCAAGCGUUAAUCGGAAUUACUGGGCGUAAAGCGUGCGCAGGCGGUUUGCUAAGACCGAUGUGAAAUCCCGGGCUCAACCUGGGAACUGCAUUGGUGACUGGCAGGCUAGAGUAUGGCAGAGGGGGGUAGAAUUCCACGUGUAGCAGUGAAAUGCGUAGAGAUGUGGAGGAAUACCGAUGGCGAAGGCAGCCCCCUGGGCCAAUACUGACGCUCAUGCACGAAAGCGUGGGGAGCAAACAGGAUUAGAUACCCUGGUAGUCCACGCCCUAAACGAUGUCAACUAGUUGUUGGGGAUUCAUUUCCUUAGUAACGUAGCUAACGCGUGAAGUUGACCG